GACGAACGCUGGCGGCGUGCUUAACACAUGCAAGUCGAACGGAAAGGCCCUGCUUUUGUGGGGUGCUCGAGUGGCGAACGGGUGAGUAACACGUGAGUAACCUGCCCUUGACUUUGGGAUAACUUCAGGAAACUGGGGCUAAUACCGGAUAGGAGCUCCUGCUGCAUGGUGGGGGUUGGAAAGUUUCGGCGGUUGGGGAUGGACUCGCGGCUUAUCAGCUUGUUGGUGGGGUAGUGGCUUACCAAGGCUUUGACGGGUAGCCGGCCUGAGAGGGUGACCGGCCACAUUGGGACUGAGAUACGGCCCAGACUCCUACGGGAGGCAGCAGUGGGGAAUAUUGCACAAUGGGCGGAAGCCUGAUGCAGCAACGCCGCGUGCGGGAUGACGGCCUUCGGGUUGUAAACCGCUUUCGCCUGUGACGAAGCGUGAGUGACGGUAAUGGGUAAAGAAGCACCGGCUAACUACGUGCCAGCAGCCGCGGUGAUACGUAGGGUGCGAGCGUUGUCCGGAUUUAUUGGGCGUAAAGGGCUCGUAGGUGGUUGAUCGCGUCGGAAGUGUAAUCUUGGGGCUUAACCCUGAGCGUGCUUUCGAUACGGGUUGACUUGAGGAAGGUAGGGGAGAAUGGAAUUCCUGGUGGGGCGGUGGAAUGCGCAGAUAUCAGGAGGAACACCAGUGGCGAAGGCGGUUCUCUGGGCCUUUCCUGACGCUGAGGAGCGAAAGCGUGGGGAGCGAACAGGCUUAGAUACCCUGGUAGUCCACGCUGUAAACGGUGGGUACUAGGUGUGGGGUCCAUUCCACGGGUUCCGUGCCGUAGCUAACGCUUUAAGUACCCCGCCUGGGGAGUACGGCCGCAAGGCUAAAACUCAAAGGAAUUGACGGGGCCCCGCACAAGCGGCGGAGCAUGCGGAUUAAUUCGAUGCAACGCGUAGAACCUUACCUGGGUUUGACAUGGAUCGGGAGUGCUCAGAGAUGGGUGUGCCUCUUUUGGGGUCGGUUCACAGGUGGUGCAUGGCUGUCGUCAGCUCGUGUCGUGAGAUGUUGGGUUAAGUCCCGCAACGAGCGCAACCCUUGUUCACUGUUGCCAGCACGUUAUGGUGGGGACUCAGUGGAGACCGCCGGGGUCAACUCGGAGGAAGGUGGGGAUGACGUCAAGUCAUCAUGCCCCUUAUGUCCAGGGCUUCACGCAUGCUACAAUGGCUGGUACAGAGAGUGGCGAGCCUGUGAGGGUGAGCGAAUCUCGGAAAGCCGGUCUCAGUUCGGAUUGGGGUCUGCAACUCGACCUCAUGAAGUCGGAGUCGCUAGUAAUCGCAGAUCAGCAACGCUGCGGUGAAUACGUUCCCGGG
Molecule: ribosomal RNA, 1343 nt
Filed under: uncultured bacterium
Lineage: Bacteria
Description: 16S ribosomal RNA
Rfam family: Bacterial small subunit ribosomal RNA
Source: RNAcentral